Portunus trituberculatus (swimming crab) is the source of this 499-nucleotide long non-coding RNA. RefSeq lists it as uncharacterized. The transcript has 3 exons. NCBI's taxonomy places the organism in Eukaryota, Metazoa, Arthropoda, Malacostraca, Decapoda, Portunidae. The record is from RefSeq and is a predicted model, not a curated record.
UGGGCAACAAUAAAUAAAGAAAUAAAUAAUAACGGUUUUCCAGUGUAGGUUGUGUUGCGGAGAGUGAUGGACUGACGGUUGACUGAUACGUUGACCCCUUGGAGAUACAUGCACAUUGACACUGCAAAAUACGAUAAUUCUGGUGGUUCGGUACGACAAUGUGGGCUAGAAAAGUUAACAUCACUGCUACAUCGACACAUUUUCAAAUCUUUCUCCUUGACGUUACAACGUAAACAAAGUCGCAAAUCGACCGAACGAGACCAACAUGUUGGGCUCAUUUUGCACCGAUAUGCAGUCAGAAACCCAACUGACUUGCAAUUUCAGUCGCAUAUUGACAUGUAAACCCACCUUUCAGAGCGAAGUCAGGGAAAGAGGCGGUACAGUACACAGACGGGAAUUCCUCGUAAACGGCAACUCACACGAAAGGAAUGACAAUCUUUAAAAAUAAUCUACGAGGAGCCUACAACAGACUUUCUAUGAGACCUGAGACGAUGUUGAC